This 144-nucleotide microRNA precursor is filed under the name Gossypium hirsutum (cotton). Its description in RNAcentral is "MIR7502 microRNA precursor family". It matches the Rfam family "MIR7502 microRNA precursor family". Lineage: Eukaryota; Viridiplantae; Streptophyta; Magnoliopsida; Malvales; Malvaceae. The record is from Rfam by way of RNAcentral.
UAUUAAAAUUUUCUUCUAUUUUUACCUUUAAAAACUAGUGUAGAUGUCUAAAUAAUCAGACAGUUUGCAUGUACGUGCCACAUGUACUUCAUGUUGACGCACAAAACCAAAUUUUUAAAGAUAAAAAUGGAAGAAAUUUGACUA